RNAcentral lists this transfer RNA (70 nucleotides) under Mastigoteuthis agassizii. RNAcentral's name for it is "tRNA-Cys". The record is from RNAcentral. Lineage: Eukaryota; Metazoa; Mollusca; Cephalopoda; Oegopsida; Mastigoteuthidae.
GGUCUUGUAGUUUAUUUAAAAUAUUAAGUUGCAAACUUUAAGAUACAUGAAAUAUUUAUUGUUAAGACUU